UCAAAAUAAAGAGUCGAAGUAGUUUUAUUCUCAGAAGAAUCAGAAGCGUUGCAGUGAGAGAUCAGAAAUGGAGAAUCGUACGAAAACGCGCCGAGAUUUCGGAUUCUGUUUCUUCAACUUUUCAUCUAACACACAACAAAUUAAACGCCUCCGAAGACGAAGAAGAUGAAACCAAUACGAAAGCAAUCCGGGUUUCUUGCGUGGAUUCGGUCGUGAUCCGAUCAUGAAGGCGCCUAGGUUGCGCUGAUGCUUUCCGGAAUGGGAUCAGAUAGGUGGCCGCGCACGCGAAGAGAGGGGGGGAGGGGUUUGCGUGCAUGCGCACAAAGUGUUUGUCGUUUGGUCUGAGAGAAAAGGAAGGCGAAAUGAGCGGAGAAGGUACGGUGGUGGUGAUGGAUGGGAUGUCAUGCCAGAUUGCAGCGCGCGCGCGCGCGCACACACGCCUUUCUCUUGUGCUCUGUCUUCCACUUUUUUUUUAGUUCAAUAUUAAAUUGUUCGUAUCAAUUCAAGUUCAUCAUGGGUAAAUAUUAUGUGUUUUAAUUUA
Cucurbita pepo subsp. pepo (vegetable marrow) is the source of this 541-nucleotide non-coding RNA. Lineage: Eukaryota; Viridiplantae; Streptophyta; Magnoliopsida; Cucurbitales; Cucurbitaceae. The record is from RefSeq and is a predicted model, not a curated record.